Molecule: small nucleolar RNA, 124 nt
Organism: Nannospalax galili (Upper Galilee mountains blind mole rat)
Lineage: Eukaryota; Metazoa; Chordata; Mammalia; Rodentia; Spalacidae
Source: Ensembl
AUAUAGUAAAAACAUCCAGAUAAUUUGCACAGCCAGACACUAUGUAAAGGUAAAGUCUUCCUUUUAAAUGACUGAUGAUAUACUAGUUGUUAUUGGUCUAUCAUUACUAAAAGUGAGUACAAGU